UACGGAAGGCAGCAGUGGGGAAUAUUGCACAAUGGGCGCAAGCCUGAUGCAGCCAUGCCGCGUGUAUGAAGAAGGCCUUCGGGUUGUAAAGUACUUUUCAGUCGUGAGGAAGGUGUUAAGGUUAAUAACCUUAGCAAUUGACGUUAGCGACAGAAGAAGCACCGGCUAACUCCGUGCCAGCAGCCGCGGUAAUACGGAGGGUGCGAGCGUUAAUCGGAAUUACUGGGCGUAAAGGGCACGCAGGCGGUUAAUUAAGUUGGAUGUGAAAUCCCCGGGCUUAACCUGGGAAUGGCAUUCAAGACUGGUUAGCUAGAGUCUUGUAGAGGGGGUAGAAUUCCGAUGUGUAGCGGUGAAAUGCGUAGAGAUGUGGAGGAAUACCGGUGGCGAAGGCGGCCCCUGGGACAAAGGCUGACGCUCAUGUGCGAAAGCGUGGGGAGCAAAC
Molecule: ribosomal RNA, 442 nt
Filed under: uncultured bacterium
Lineage: Bacteria
Description: bacterial SSU rRNA
Rfam family: Bacterial small subunit ribosomal RNA
Source: RNAcentral